UAUGCCCAUAUCAUGUUGAAAUAUCGGUUCCCGUACGAUCAUUGAAGUUAAGCAACGUCGAGGCCGGUCAGUAUCUAGAUGGGUGACCGCUUAGGAAUACCAGGUUCUGUAAG
This is a non-coding RNA of Acanthosepion pharaonis, 113 nucleotides long. The record is from the annotation of a GenBank genome assembly. NCBI's taxonomy places the organism in Eukaryota, Metazoa, Mollusca, Cephalopoda, Sepiida, Sepiidae.